UGGGGCAUCACCGCUCCUGUUUGUAUAAUUUACUAUAGCAUUGAAGGACUGGUUAAUCCACUGCCAGAAAACCACUGCUGGUGUCGUUCUAUAAAAGGUCAUCAUACAACCUGUGAUAGUCAUGUUCAUGGGUACCUGAGCUGACAUUCGGCCAAUCAAGACCAUCUUUUCGCCAGUGUCUGGAUGAAAGGCUGAAUCAUAGAUAUACUUUGCUCUCCACAGUUCAUUUUCAGUCAAUCCAGGUGCCACAAUACCUUGUCUAUAAUCAUGCACGAUUUUUCUUGCAUUUUCCAGCUGGGCAUCAGAUAGCAAAAUAUUUCGGGGGUCUGUUACAGUGAAGAAGUGACUGGCUCGUCCAAUGAAAGUGCUUUGAUCCCAUCGGGGCUCCUUGAUAUUAAUAUUUAAUGGUAUAUCUGCCGACAUCUUCAAAAACUCGCGGCCCCGCGCGCUGCCGGCUCCGCGCCGCCCCGCC
This 472-nucleotide long non-coding RNA is filed under the name Gallus gallus (chicken). The record is from RNAcentral. Lineage: Eukaryota; Metazoa; Chordata; Aves; Galliformes; Phasianidae.